UGGCACUGAUGCUUAUUGCACCACAUGUGUUUUUCUUUGAAACAAACUUGCUUUGGCGGUGGGCCCAGCCUGCCGCCAGAGGUCUAAACUUACAACCAAUUUUUUAUCAACUUGUCACACCAGAUUAUUACUAAUAGUCAAAACUUUCAACAACGGAUCUCUUGGUUCUCGCAUCGAUGAAGAACGCAGCGAAAUGCGAUACGUAAUAUGAAUUGCAGAUAUUCGUGAAUCAUCGAAUCUUUGAACGCACAUUGCGCCCUCUGGUAUUCCGGAGGGCAUGCCUGUUUGAGCGUCGUUUCUCCCUCAAACCGCUGGGUUUGGUGUUGAGCAAUACGACUUGGGUUUGCUUGAAAGACGGUAGUGGUAAGGCGGGAUCGCUUUGACAAUGGCUUAGGUCUAACCAAAAACAUUGCUUGCGGCGGUAACGUCCACCACGUAUAUCUUCAAACUUUGACCUCAAAUCAGGUAGGACUACCCGCUGAACUUAAGCAUAUCAAUAAGGCGGAGGAA
RNAcentral lists this ribosomal RNA (510 nucleotides) under Candida albicans. RNAcentral's name for it is "eukaryotic LSU rRNA". The stretch from base 142 to 295 matches the Rfam family "5.8S ribosomal RNA". Lineage: Eukaryota; Fungi; Ascomycota; Pichiomycetes; Serinales; Debaryomycetaceae. The record is from RNAcentral.